This 275-nucleotide ribosomal RNA is filed under the name uncultured bacterium. RNAcentral's name for it is "partial 16S ribosomal RNA". It matches the Rfam family "Bacterial small subunit ribosomal RNA", at positions 79 to 353 of the family's 1533-position model. The record is from RNAcentral.
CUAAGUUUGAUGGCGACCGGCGCACGGGUGAGUAACACGUAUCCAACCUGCCGAUAACUCGGGGAUAGCCUUUCGAAAGAAAGAUUAAUACCCGAUGGCAUAGUUCUUCCGCAUGGUAGAACUAUUAAAGAAUUUCGGUCAUCGAUGGGGAUGCGUUCCAUUAGGUUGUUGGCGGGGUAACGGCCCACCAAGCCUUCGAUGGAUAGGGGUUCUGAGAGGAAGGUCCCCCACAUUGGAACUGAGACACGGUCCAAACUCCUACGGGAGGCAGCAUG